UUCUGAUCAGGUUCAGCCACACCAUUUCAGAAAAGACUUUUGCACUUUUUAUUGACCGCCAUGCACGUGCCAAGCACAACUACCUUUAUUCUCUGCAGAAAACAACAGAGAAGGAUCCAAUGCAUAAAUUCACACGAGAUGAUAAAUUCAUGCCAAGUGACGAGAAAGAGAAAGAUCGGAGUACUGCAGGUCGCCGAGGUCUCCUACCUCAGGAGAACCAGCGCCAAAGCCCAAAGUAUGAAAGAACGACAAAGAGAGGAUUCAUUUCAGACAAAGAACACGAUUCAUCAUAUUUAAUAGUUGUAAUUUGAAUUUUAUUGGAUCUGCAGUGAUGUCUGUAUUUAAUUUCUAAUUUGUUUUGGUUUCAUAAUUGGCUUAAACAAUAAGCACAAAAUUUUAUAUCUGAUUUUACGUUUAUGUAUAUUAACAUUUUAAUAAAAAUAAUUUAUAUUCUCA
Molecule: long non-coding RNA, 456 nt
Filed under: Lynx pardinus (Iberian lynx)
Lineage: Eukaryota; Metazoa; Chordata; Mammalia; Carnivora; Felidae
Source: RNAcentral